RNAcentral lists this small nuclear RNA (107 nucleotides) under Castor canadensis (American beaver). Lineage: Eukaryota; Metazoa; Chordata; Mammalia; Rodentia; Castoridae. The record is from RNAcentral.
GUGCUUGCUUUGGCAGCACAUAUACUAAAACUGGAAUGAUAUAGAGAAGAUUAGCAUGGUCUCUGUCCAAGGAUGACAUGCAAAAUAAUGAAGUAUUCCAUUAAAAA